AUACUUUCCUGGACAGGGUCAAUGGAUGAUCAAGAAGGUCCAUGGCCCAGGUUAGCAACCUAAAUUGCACUUGGGAAGGGCGAGUGCCUAAGAUCUCCCCAUGUGGAAGAGUCUACCAUCCACAUCAUAAUUUGUGGUAAAGGUGGUACGUCCCCUC
Macleaya cordata is the source of this 157-nucleotide small nuclear RNA. It matches the Rfam family "U1 spliceosomal RNA". Rfam says of the family: U1 is a small nuclear RNA (snRNA) component of the spliceosome (involved in pre-mRNA splicing). Its 5' end forms complementary base pairs with the 5' splice junction, thus defining the 5' donor site of an intron. The record is from Rfam. Lineage: Eukaryota; Viridiplantae; Streptophyta; Magnoliopsida; Ranunculales; Papaveraceae.